RNAcentral lists this ribosomal RNA (251 nucleotides) under uncultured prokaryote. Its description in RNAcentral is "partial 16S rRNA". It matches the Rfam family "Bacterial small subunit ribosomal RNA", at positions 525 to 775 of the family's 1533-position model. The record is from RNAcentral.
ACGGGGGGUGCAAGCGUUGUUCGGAAUUAUUGGGAGUAAAGAGCGUGUAGGCGGCUGAAUGAGUCAGAAGUGAAAUCCCUGGGCUUAACCAGGAAGGUGCUUGUGAAACUAUUCAACUUUAGUAUGGAAGAGGAAAGUGGAAUGCCUAGUGUAGAGGUGACAUUCGUAGAUAUCAGGAGGAACACCUGUAGCGAAGGCGACUUUCUAGCGCUAUACUGACGCUGAGACGCGAGAACUUGGGUAACAAACAG